AACCUGCUAGACGCCCAGCGAGAGCCUCUGCCCUAUCUACCUUCAUUAUAGUAAAGCGUUAACAUCCAGUAUCCCAUUGCUAUCUAUGAUUGUCACCGCUUAAAAAUUACUUGUGAUCAAAUCAUCUGCGAUUGUUGUUACUUUUGCUGCUUAAACAACCAUGACAGUCGCGCAGCAGUUCGAAUGAAAUGCAAAGUUGGCAAUUUAAGUCAGUGU
Molecule: unclassified non-coding RNA, 216 nt
Filed under: Moritella viscosa
Lineage: Bacteria; Pseudomonadati; Pseudomonadota; Gammaproteobacteria; Alteromonadales; Moritellaceae
Description: putative sRNA
Source: RNAcentral